AUUCUCUUAGAAGGUUCUAGAAUAUUCUUAGAAGGUUCUAGAAUAUUCUGAUAAAUUCUAAGAAGUUGCUCGAGAAGUUUCCUAAUUAGUAGAAGUUGUUAGAGAAGCGUCCUAGUUAGCGGAAGUAGCUCGAGAAGCUUCCUAUUCAGUAGUAUAUAUAGGAGUCGAGGCUGAAGGAUUCUUCAGUCUCGACAACACAUCUCUUGGAGUUCUAGCUCACCUUUUUGGUGUUGUUCUUGUACUCAUCUGUUUAAUCUAGUUCUGCCACUUCUUCUUGAACUUCUUGUUAGAUUUCAAGUCUGUAUUUUGUGUCCGUGACACCUUAGGUGUAUUAUAAUAAUAGUAGAUGGUCUAGGUAGCGUCUACCAUGUCUUCAUGGACUUGACUCACAUACUUCUUCCACUGCUAUCAACGCAUCGACAGACAAUGGUAUUAAGUUGGGUAGGUCGUGAUGGACGUGUGGUCAUGGAUUUUGUCCUUAAAACCGAAAUUGGACAAGUUCUAUCUCCUAUGUUGUGGUUUCUAAAUACAACUCAUCCUUCUAUCCUUCACGCUAAACAUGAAAGUAGGGGGAUAUGUCUAGACUAAUUUUGGGCCUAGUAGCUGC
RNAcentral lists this long non-coding RNA (607 nucleotides) under Physcomitrium patens. Its description in RNAcentral is "long non-coding RNA (PPAT_LNC004976)". Lineage: Eukaryota; Viridiplantae; Streptophyta; Bryopsida; Funariales; Funariaceae. The record is from RNAcentral.